UUAGCGGGCUAGCAGAGCAGCAAAGCUUUGAACGUGUAUCUGGGGAUAUUCUGUUCGAAUCUCAGUCCGGGACAUCGGAUAAUCGGACCGGAUGAUUUUUCAUGGUUUUCACUGAGCUCCUCCAGAUAAAAACAAGGAUAUUAUCUGCUUUAAUCCGCGACUUCUACGAAAUCUAAUACAGUUCCCUAUUCAUCUACCAUCCUUACAUUCUACGCUUUAUAGUAUAGCUACUGACAACCCACAAAAACCUAUGCGUGUGAAUGGAAUGAGUCUUUAGGGGUUCUCAACAUUCAGGACUCGUUUUGAAGGAACUGUUAUCACAGAAUAUCCGCUCUUGGGUCGGUGUCGCGGGCCAGCCCACUUCAGAACAAUCUGCAUGCGUGCGUGUCAGUUCUUGGGGCAGAGGAGCGGUGUCUGGCGAUGCUGUAUGUAGGGCGUGGAGCUAAGGGCGAGGAAGGUGGUACCGGCGUCACUGUGGCCGCAGCCGUCGCCAUUCUGGAGAGGCAACAGGAAGAGCAGAGACAUACAGCGCCAUCACGUAUCCGCCAUCACCAACGCGGUGAUUUAAAUAGCACGUUCGAGCCGGGAGUGUCGAGGGACUCCUCCGAUUCUAGUGUCAGUAGUGUUGGUGAGACUAUUGCGCGGCUGAAAAGUAGAUUCGGUAGCAGCGGUGUUGGGAGCGGUGCUGUGUCGUGUUCUGCGUCGGCGAGGGAUUCGCUGGUACAGGAUGCCGAUCAGAAAUCAAUGAAGCAUGUGAGUAACGCAAGAAGAAACGAAUGGACGUCUGUAAGAAAGAAAGAACCGGAUAAUUCCGAGGUUAAAACGAAUCAUGUAGUGAAAGAAAACGAAGGGAUCCGGAAAUCACCGUCUACCAAAAAUAUUUCCUCUUUAGUGCGUAGUAAUCCGAUCGUUCCUACGCGAGGUAUCACAACUCUGUCUUCCUCGGAUCCGGAAACACAAGAUUUGUGUUUCGGAGAUGGUGCAAACAAAGUGGAUAUUUCCUCGCAGUCAAGUCCAGUACAGUGUAAUAAGACGUUAUCGGUUAAACAGUUUCAAUCAGAUUUAUCCAACGAGGAAUCAGGUGAGGUAAAACGGUCUUCAUCUGCAGAAGACAUUCUAGAUCAACAUGAUGAUUUUGAUGAUGAUGGUUUAGGAGCUUGUUCUGUAAGGAGUGAAGAUCUACGUGAUGAUCUACAGAUAUCCGUGAAAGGAUCUACAAGCGAUAGCAACAUCCCUCGGAAACGUCCGCGUGUAAUCCGUCUCCGAGAUUGUGUUACCAAGAUCGAUAGAUCGAAAUCCAGUCCUGAAGUAGCAUCGGAACCAGCUAAAGGAGAUACAGAGGAUGCAGGUCCACAGUCGCGUAAUUCGACUGCGCAAAUAGUUCUGGAAUAUCCUCCACCUCCACCCUCACCGCCGCCGGAGUGUGAAGACGUCAGCGGAGGGUCGUCCCCGAGCAGCUCUGGACGGAUCGUGACCUCGGCGGAAUCUCUAGGUGGGGAUGAGUCAAACCCUGAUGAAGAAGAAGAUUCAACCCUCAAGUGCAGUGGCACGGCUUGGUCAGGUUCAGACUCGGCCCCACAUCACAGGAGCAGCUCAACAUCUGAUUUCUCCAGUUCAUCCCCUUCUGAGGAGGAGGGGGCAGAAGACUUUGACCCCUCUCCACACAAACCCUGCCUACAUACUGAAGAUCUCACAACUACAGGUUGUGACGAAGACUUCCAGUGGAUAUGCAGUUCCCCCGGGGUUGCGGGCAGUGGGAGGAGGCAUCCUGUUAAGAAUAGUAAGGUGCCAGAUGCAGAGAAGAGAACCAUAGAUGUUUGUGCUCCAGCAUCUGAUGACAGUAGAUAUAAUCACGAAUUUGACUACGACCCCCCUCAAAUAAUGCACAGCCAGAAUACUGUGACAUCAUCAUAUGAGAAAGCAUCUGACAGGAGUGAAGUGCAGACUUCUGGUAACAGUGGAUAUGAAUAUCGCCAGCUUAUCGGUGGAAGCAGCGAAACUUCUCACCGUAAGCCACCAAGACAUGAUUCUGGUUUAAAAUCACAUGCAGCCUUCGAUAAAGCAUCAAGUCUUGAUCGGCGACGAUAUCAUGGUCAUAACAGAGCCAGUAGAGACCAGAAGGCUCGGUCAUCUAUCGUUCUUCAUUCCCCAAGAUUUCGCUCACCUGCAAGACAUGCAAGCCCAUCAGCUGUGGAGUGUCCCCACUACAGCAACGCAUCAUGCUACAGUGAAGCAGCGAAGAUUGCGGUGAACCACGGCGUUUCUUGCUGCGAGUCAGCAGCAAGUCUCCUGCGUUGUUCUAGUUCUCAUGGAUGCAUCCAUCAGCCUCUUCGUCCUUCACUCUGCAACGACCCAGCUCACUGCUGUUCCACUCCUGUCCGUGAAGAUGUGAUGUCAUCAUCAUACGAUUCUCCGUUUCCUGAGAUUCGCCACCACUGUCACCACCAUGGUGAUCUUCAGCGCUAUGGAAGUUCUGGGAAGUUGGAUUGUCAUUCACGGAUCUGUCAUGGCAUGGGCAGCCAACAAGACCUGGUGCUGCCGGGGGAGUGCUGCAGCGUGUUAGCGCAAGGUGGAGACUGCUACGGCUCUCACAGUUACCUCUCCACGUGCAACUGUCAGGCAGAACAGCAAUGCAGACGGCGGCAUGUACACAAGGUCAGCUUCAGGCAGCCUCAAGUGAAUGCUGAUGUGGAGGAGAGGUUGCGACGUCUGGAAGCAGACAAGGAUUCGCUCCAGCUCCAGGUGGCUGUGCUUACUGAACAAAUUGAAGUUCAGACAGACAAGAUAUCAGACCUUGAGAAGCUGCUGGACGAGAAGAAGAGUCAGCUCACUAAUACCGAGGAUGUACUGCAGAGAGAGAUGUUGUCCCGUUCAUCGCUGGAAACACAAAAGCUGGAGCUUCUGUCAGCCAUGUCAGAACUGAAGCUACAGCAGGCAGCUCUAGAACGGGAUAAUUUGGAGCUGCGAGAUCGUCUUGGUGAGGAACGUCGUAGGAACAAACCUCCGGUAAUACCACGCUCAACAUUGUUAGCCACAUCCACACCGGUCAGCUCCCAGCAAGCCUCGCAGCUACUGGGAGGAGUUUCGCCAUCACCCAGUCCAGUUUCAUCACUGUCUGAAGGCAGCCCACGUCGUCUGGGAAAUCAUCCAAAUAGCAUGGAAGACUUCAAGGACAUUCCAGCACCUCGGACUCCACCGGCAAAUUACAGGCGUAAGGUAGAGCAUUAUGGUAGCCUGCCUCGCCAGCGUGUUACAACAAAUGGUAUGGCUGUCUCCCCCAUGGAUGGCAUCAGUCCUGUAGCAAAUGCUGCUGGCAUGAGGAAGGGCGUUGCCUUCGGUAAAGGACUAGUUUCUUCAUUCCUACCCUUCCAACAUCCAUUGCACCAGGCAUCGAGGUUAAAGGUCUCCGGUCAAGACAAGAGUUUCUCCACACCCAAUCUAGCUGAGACAGAACGGGUAGUUAUCGAGGAUGUGGUGGCAUCUCCAUCAACGGACGUUGUGACAGAAGAAGAGGUAGACGAAACGACAGGUUCGCUUGGACUUUCACCACAGCCAAGUCCUUCAUUCCAAGUUGGCAAGAAUAAAGGCAUCAAGAAGAUAUUUGGACGUAUGAAACGUAGUGGUUCUGGUAAUUUGGAUGAUCUCCCUGGGGAAGGAGAAUUCAGCCGAGGAGGCAUACGAGCUACUGCAGGACCAAGACUUGGUUGGACCAAUCAGCCAGUUAUAAAACCAAGGCCAGACCGGCCCUUUGCUGAAUGGGACAGUGAAGCCAUCUGUGGAUGGAUGCAAGAACUGGGGCUAGACUGCUAUGCAAAUGAUGCCAAACGAUGGGUCAAGACUGGCACGCACCUCUUGCAAGCUUCAAAUCAUGAGCUCGAAAAGGAACUUGGAAUUAAGCAUCCAAUCCACCGGAAGAAACUGCACCUAGCCCUACUGUCGCAGCAAGGCACAGUGGCGACUCUGGAUCCGCAUCUUAUCCCGGCUGGAGAGCUGGAUACAGCGUGGGUAUUGCGAUGGUUAGAUGAUGUGGGGUUGCCACAAUAUAAGGAGACAUUUCUGGCUGCCAGAGUUGAUGGAAGACUUCUGCAUCGGCUGACCAUGGAUGAACUGGCAGUACUGCAUGUGACAUCACAUCUCCAUGUAGCGAGUCUUAGAAGAGGAAUCCAGGUGCUGAGGAAUAACAAGUUUGAGCCAAACUGUUUAAAGCGACGGUCCCUACCUGACGAUCCACAGCAACCAACAGCGCAGGAUGUGGCUCUGUGGACAAAUCACCGUGUCAUGGAGUGGUUGCGGAUUGUGGACCUUGCAGAAUAUGCCCCAAACCUUCGAGGCUCAGGGGUUCAUGGAGGUCUGAUGGUUCAUGAGCCACGUUUCACAGCUGAGCUGCUGGCCAGUUUGCUCUCAAUACCACCCAGCAAAACCUUAUUGCGACGGCACCUCAAUACGCACUUUAAAGAACUCCUGGGACGUGAAUGUAUCCAAGAGAAAAGGGAAGCUGAGGCCACUUUAGGAUAUGUUCCUCUUUCUGCAACCACUAAAGUUAAAGUGACAAAGAAGAGCCAGUUCACACUGAAGCGCAAGAAGUCAAAGUCAGAGUUGGACUUUGGGGACUUGGUGUGCCCUCUGGAUCCCAACAAGUCAGGUGAAACACUGCCUCAUGGUGAUGGCAUGACUCAGAUGGGGCCACAGGAUCCAAAGGUCGUGGUUGUCUCUCGUGAAACAGCUAUCAGUUCAGAAGUGGUAAGAAAACAGUGUGCCAGACAUCACUGUCAGGAUCACUCUGUCAUUUGGGUUAAUAGUAUCUGCCCUCUUAGUGUAUCCCAUGUCAGAAAUGAAUUCUACGCUUUUGUCUAGGUGAGCAGAGGCGAGGAAAAUGAACAGAAACCCUAUCUAGAAGCACUAGACAUUUUUAUAGCUCAAAAUAGCAAAAGGUGAGUGAGCAGGUGUGCUGAAAAUAGUGAAUAGAUUCAGGGUUUGAAUAGAAUGUUCCCGCAUACUGUUACAGUAAAAAGUAAAGUUGUCGCUGUGCUGAAUUAUUUAAGCAUGAAGACGCGGGGGAGUGGCUGUCCAGCCCAUAGUCCAUCGCUAUACUGACUGAGCUAUCCUGACUCCUACUGUUUUGGUAUAGGAUUUGAUGUUCUUAUGGUAGAGAACAUGGACGUCUGUCUUCCAGGGUAGAGACACCCUAUAGUCCGAUAGGUAUUGCCCGGAUAUUCAGGGUUGAAGUACGAAGCCUGCAAGAAUCAGACAGUAAAGAGAGGCAAUGCAUUUCUCUGAAACGUCAGACUUCUACCCAACCACCCAGCAUUGCAUCCUGGAAGGCAAUACUCUUCAUAGUCAUUGCUGUGGGAACCUCGAAGCAAAGUUAAAUUGAAUUAUUUUGUUGCAGGACCAGCUCAAAUCUGAGUGUAAAUUUUCAGAAAGAACCAGCGAUGUCUGAAAAAGGACCCAUUGGCAAGAACUGGGCAAGAAAAUCAUUUCUUUACCUGGUUCACAUGGCAGGGAGCUAUCAUAUACAUUUUGGUAACAGUUGAAUCAAACAGCUGUGUUGCAGACUACUUGUAUCGAAGCCUGGAUCGUUAUCAUUUGUGUCCUCUUGUAACACACUGCAUCAACUGAGACCUUGAAAAUAUGUAUAUAUAUAUACUUACAUGAGCAGGUAUAGUAUACACCAGUAAUCCUUAUUAUAAAGAAAUGUUCUUCCAAGAUAAUAUGAUAUAAGAUAAGUGGUUUUUAUGGACGUAGAGUCCAAUGUGAACAGUGUUUCAGCCUGCCAAACAUGAAUUGCUGUCAUCCGUGACAUUGAACUGUAUGUAAUGCCCAGUUAGGUUCAUGCAUAAUGAUAUCAAAAGAACGAAUUUGAUUCAUAUAAAGUUAUUUAUAUUCAGAUAAUGUACAGGCACUGACUAUUACCAUGAACAGUCAUUAAUUUUCAUUCAAAAGUGAAGCUGGAAAGUAUAAUUUGACUUAGAAAUUCUUAAAAUGACCUUAUUAAAUAUAUGGAAUCAUAAAGAUGAAAUCCUCAAGAAUCUAUUCAGUACAUGCAACAGCCUUUUCUCUCAACACCAGACCAAAGGCCAUAAUCCUGCUUCUUAUGCAAAGAGCACCAUGUUAAAAAACAAACCCAGAGAUUGGCUAUCCUGUGUUAAGGAUUUUCAUGGUUUGUGUAAGUCCUGCCAGGCUAAUAUCAAAUUUCAAAUUAGGCUGUAACCACUUCCUUCUCCUCCCUUUCCAAUUAAUUAUACUGUCAUUUGAUGAUGACUGCCUAUGUGGUCUAGUGCUCAGAGGUCCGGGUUUGAUUCCCGGCACUGCCAGAUUUUCUGAGAAGUAGUGGGUCUGGAACGGGGUCCAUUCAGCCUCGUGAGAGAAUGCUGUCUUUACAUUUACCAUUUCUUGACAGGUAUUAUUGGUAAUAAUUUUAUAACCAUCUGAAAUGUGAAUGAGCUGGUGUUUGAAGUUCAGUUAUUCAGCAGACUUGAGGCUCCUACAGUGGUGGCUUCUGGGAUGCGAUGCCAUGCAGUCUGGUAGAACUUAACUGACAUUUCAGAGGAAUGAAACAAGUAGAAUGGAAAGGUGGAAAGAGAAGAGUAACUGGUACUGGUUGCCUGCUAGGCUUACUCUUCAUCCCUGAAGAUGGAGGCAGUAUGUUCCUCCAAAAUACCUGUAAACCUGUACCAGGCUACCUCAAAUAUCAGAUCCUCUUUGCUGGACUGAGUCUGCAUCUCACAGUAUAGAACCCACUUCCAUUCAGUGAGACCACCUUUCCAGGUUUUAUAAGGUCUUGAUCGUUUCAACCUGGCCCUUCACUGCUACCACCCCAGGGUUAGAUUGGGCAGUCAACAAAUGGCUGACAGUCCUUGAGCAGAAACUUUAGGACCCUUCCACCAAGAUUUCAUGAGUAGGAUUAUAGUACCAAAGCAUAACCUAAAAUCUACCUCCCUCUUUCCAUAGCUGCAUCAUUGGUAAGCACUGGAAGAUUGUGUCUAUAGAAACAGACGUGCUUAUCAAAACUUAACCUUCUCACAUCCUUUUUAUCUGGAACAUCUCUCCUACCAGCUAUGAAUUAACUUUUUUGAAAAUCUAAGAAGAAAAAUGCUUUGGCAGGGGAAGACAUAAAACUCCUGCAUUCUGUUCCUUUAAACAAUCAACUAGAAGAGAUGUCAAAGAAUGUACAGAGAAAAGGCAUAACAACUCGGUACAUGGUGGUAAUGUGACAGUAAAUUGCAUAAAUUUGGUGCAGGAAGCCUCACAACAGUAGACCUGUACCAGAAAUUGUCUACUGUUCUAACUGCUUUUAAAGUUACAUGUCUAAAUUGUGGUUUAACUGUUCUAAUGUUGCUGCAAUAGAAUUAUUUGCUCUAAUAAUAGCUGGUUUAUCUGUUUUAUUAAUUCCAAUAAUAUCCAGCAGAGGGUAGGAAAGGAUUGAGGCAUGGUAAAACACUGUUUUGUUUUACAUUAAUGUUUGACUUCCACUAGUUGUGGUAAUUAGUGUGCAUAAGCUGUUAGCACUAGCAUGGCAGUAUGGGUCCAUGUAUAAUUGGUGUUAGUGCCACUUCAAGUAUGGGCAUCAUUUGUGUCACCAAUGUGUCUCAUCAAUAUUAUCCCAUUUUCCUUGUUAAGUCUUCCAGUGGAGGUUUGUUACUGCAAAUCAUAGAGGUGGCAAAGGUCAAAUAAAAUGUUGGAGAAUAGUUUUUAAUACAUUUUUGGUAAAGUUUUUGACUCUCAUGAAUAUUUUAAAUUGAAUUUACUUCAUACAGAAUCUUCUAAAAGUCUGAGAGUUAUCUGAAAACCUGUAAUUAUUACAUUGUGUGUGAGAGGAAGGAAGUUUCAAGACAGUUUAGGUGAAAGGAUUGUUCAAAUGAAACAUGUUUGGGGAUUGUUCUGGAUGAAGGAGUAGAGGCCAUUAAAAAUAAGGCUAAUGGGCACUGAGAUAGCCAUCUUUUUGAUGCACCAGCUGAUAAAUCUCCUCCGUGAAGAAUUCCUUGGCCUUCUGCUGGAACCACUGCACCACUGCAGUUAGGCCAAAUGCAUGAACUUGAUUCAUUUGAACAUGCCUUGUAUAUAAGUACAUGCAAGGAAUAAUAUUGACGGUCCUCCAACAUUUCAGCAAACAUUGCCUUUACAUGUUUAGGGUUAAUGCAUAUGGAAGGUUU
RNA transcript from Cryptotermes secundus, 8153 nucleotides. It is a transcript of the gene named liprin-beta-1, with no coding region annotated. The record is from RefSeq and is a predicted model, not a curated record. The transcript is spliced from 16 exons. Lineage: Eukaryota; Metazoa; Arthropoda; Insecta; Blattodea; Kalotermitidae.